GUUUUAUAGUAUAGUGGGGUGCAGUAUGGUAUUAUAGUAUAGUGGGGUGCAGUUUGUUAUUAUAGUAUAGUGGGGUGCAGUAUGUUGGUAUAGUGUAGUGGGGUGCAGUUUGUUUUAUAGUAUAGUGGGGUGCAGUAUAGUAUUAUAGUAUAGUGGGGUGCAGUUUGUUAUUAUAGUAUAGUGGGGUGCAGUAUGUUGGUACAGUGUAGUGGGGUGCAGUUUGUUUUAUAGUAUAGUGGGGUACAGUAUGGUAUUAUAGUAUAGUGGGGUGCAGUAUGUUGGUAUAGUGUAGUGGGGUGCAGUUUGUUUUAUAGUAUAGUGGGGUGCAGUAUGUUAUUAUAGUAUAGUGGGGGUGCAUUAUGGUAUUAUAGUAUAGUGGGGUGCAGUAUGUUAUUAUAGUAUAGUGGGGGUGCAGUAUGGUAUUAUAGUAUAGUGGGGUGCAGUGUGUUAUUAUAGUAUAGUGGGGGUGCAGUAUGGUAUUAUAGUAUAGUGGGGUGCAGUAUGUUAUUAUAUUAAAG
Pelobates cultripes (western spadefoot toad) is the source of this 518-nucleotide non-coding RNA. The record is from the annotation of a GenBank genome assembly. NCBI's taxonomy places the organism in Eukaryota, Metazoa, Chordata, Amphibia, Anura, Pelobatidae.